This 253-nucleotide ribosomal RNA is filed under the name uncultured bacterium. Its description in RNAcentral is "partial 16S ribosomal RNA". It matches the Rfam family "Bacterial small subunit ribosomal RNA", at positions 524 to 776 of the family's 1533-position model. The record is from RNAcentral.
UACGAACCGUCCAAACGUUAUUCGGAAUCACUGGGCUUAAAGGGUGCGUAGGCGGCUCAGAAAGUAGGGUGUGAAAUACCUCGGCUCAACCGAGGAAUUGCGCCCUAAACUACUGGGCUCGAGGAAGACAGAGGUAAGCGGAACUUACGGUGGAGCGGUGAAAUGCGUUGAUAUCGUAAGGAACACCAGGAGCGAAAGCGGCUUACUGGGUCUUUUCUGACGCUGAGGCACGAAAGCUAGGGGAGCGAACGGG